Long non-coding RNA from Corticium candelabrum, 655 nucleotides. RefSeq lists it as uncharacterized. The transcript is spliced from 3 exons. The record is from RefSeq and is a predicted model, not a curated record. NCBI's taxonomy places the organism in Eukaryota, Metazoa, Porifera, Homoscleromorpha, Homosclerophorida, Plakinidae.
GGGAAAGCAAGCCUGAAUCAAAAUCAACUGAAGUUGAACUUGGCUUGAUCCACUCCACUCUGGCAAGGGUGAAUCAUCUAUUAAAAGCUCGACUACUUCUGCUAGCAGUCGAAGACUUGUGUAAACACACGAUGAUCACCGUCAACAAACUUGCCAGGAAGCCUACCAAUGUCCAACGGCAGCUGCUGGUUUAAAGCUUUUAUUCGUUGUUUCAAUAUGACUUGAUUUGCAGAUAGCAUAGAAAAUGAAUCAUUACUAGUUCCCAGGAUAAGCGAUAUUUCAUGAGAUACCAAUCCCAAAAAGAAGCAAUGCAUCGGAUCGACAGCUGCCAUCUUUACAGGGUCAAAAUAUGGCAAUCUUAACAGUUCCGAAUAUCUUACUCCAUUGGUUUUCGCAAGAUGGUCCUGUUGAGCCUUAGUUGAAGCGUCUCUGUAUGCCAGUGCCUGCUGUCAAACCUCUGCUCCACUUCUCAAAGGUAUAGACAAAGAAGUCUCCCCAUUGGUGUAGUAGCUCAUUUUGCAUGAUGCUCCAUGUGUUCCCGGUUCUCUCUCAGCUUGAAAUUUGCACUUGCUACAACCAAGAUCUGCUUUGUGACCCAAAAACUGCAAAACCUUUCGAGAUGCUGGUAAAUCACAAGACACACACACACAAGAGC